UACGUAGGGUGCAAGCGUUGUCCGGAAUUAUUGGGCGUAAAGAGCGCGCAGGCGGUCGUUCAAGUCGCGUGAAAGCCCCCGGCUCAACUGGGGAGGGUCACGCGAUACUGAUCGACUCGAAGGCAGGAGAGGGAAGUGGAAUUCCCGGUGUAGUGGUGAAAUGCGUAGAUAUCGGGAGGAACACCAGUGGCGAAGGCGACUUCCUGGCCUGUUCUUGACGCUGAGGCGCGAAAGCUAGGGGAGCAAACGGG
RNAcentral lists this ribosomal RNA (251 nucleotides) under uncultured bacterium. RNAcentral describes it as "partial 16S ribosomal RNA". It matches the Rfam family "Bacterial small subunit ribosomal RNA", at positions 524 to 776 of the family's 1533-position model. The record is from RNAcentral.